Molecule: long non-coding RNA, 322 nt
Organism: Rhincodon typus (whale shark)
Lineage: Eukaryota; Metazoa; Chordata; Chondrichthyes; Orectolobiformes; Rhincodontidae
Exons: 3
Source: RefSeq, a predicted model, not a curated record
GACACAGUUGAAAGAAAGGAAUACUUCCUGGCUAAAUUUGCUGCUGAUAAGAACAGGAUGAAAACUGAAAUUGUUUGCAACAAUUCGAAGAGUACAGCAAAUGAGGUGAAAUUGGGAUAUAUCCAAGUCUGGGGAUUGGGAAACGUUCAGCCUUCAAAUGUCACUGUAACUUAUGAGAACAAAAAUCAUACAAUCAACAGUUUUGAGUACAAGCCUGAAUCACAGGAGCUCUCCAUUCAAAUGAUAGAUAAAAAUUUCCAGAUAGACAAGCCAUUAGAAAUUUUUUGGAAAACAUCCUGAGUUUUAAUUCUACGUAUCGGAC